AUAGAGCUGGCCAUGCCUCUGUCAAGUUAACUGGACAUUCUUUUUGCAGGGGCCGGGCCCAGUGGGCAGCCCAUAUGGGCCUUUCUCAUGCCAACAUUCAGGAGUUGGGUUUUUGGCGCAGUAAUGCCUAUUUGCGUUAUCUGGACCCCACAGUUUCACAGAGAUUCCAGUCUCUUCAUCUUUUCUCAUCGGGCCUUCCCUAAUGGGGUUGGGGGUCUCUCUUGUCACUGUGUAGUUUAUUAACCUGGACAGAUUCUUACUUAUGUAUGUUUGGGGGUUAAUAAACUUGACCCAGCUCGAA
Haliotis rubra (blacklip abalone) is the source of this 301-nucleotide long non-coding RNA. RefSeq lists it as uncharacterized. The transcript is spliced from 2 exons. The record is from RefSeq and is a predicted model, not a curated record. NCBI's taxonomy places the organism in Eukaryota, Metazoa, Mollusca, Gastropoda, Lepetellida, Haliotidae.